RNAcentral lists this ribosomal RNA (437 nucleotides) under uncultured Oscillospiraceae bacterium. Its description in RNAcentral is "partial 16S ribosomal RNA". It matches the Rfam family "Bacterial small subunit ribosomal RNA", at positions 341 to 792 of the family's 1533-position model. The record is from RNAcentral. Lineage: Bacteria; Bacillati; Bacillota; Clostridia; Eubacteriales; Oscillospiraceae.
ACGGGAGGCAGCAGUGGGGAAUAUUGGGCAAUGGGCGAAAGCCUGACCCAGCAACGCCGCGUGAGGGAAGAAGGUCCUCGGAUUGUAAACUUCUUUUAUCAGGGACGAAGGAAGUGACGGUACCUGAUGAAUAAGCCACGGCUAACUACGUGCCAGCAGCCGCGGUAAUACGUAGGUGGCGAGCGUUAUCCGGAUUUACUGGGUGUAAAGGGCGCGUAGGCGGGGAUGCAAGUCAGAUGUGAAAUCCAUGGGCUUAACUCAUGAACUGCAUUUGAAACUGUAUCUCUUGAGUGUCGGAGAGGUAGAUGGAAUUCCUAGUGUAGCGGUGAAAUGCGUAGAUAUUAGGAGGAACACCAGUGGCGAAGGCGAUCCACUGGACGAUAACUGACGCUGAGGCGCGAAAGCGUGGGGAGCAAACAGGAUUAGAUACCCUGGUA